Cyprinus carpio carpio is the source of this 760-nucleotide long non-coding RNA. Lineage: Eukaryota; Metazoa; Chordata; Actinopteri; Cypriniformes; Cyprinidae. The record is from Ensembl.
GGUAGAACAGGGGGAGGGAUGGCGGGCCAGGCCCGUGUAGGAGAACAGGGACCGGCCGUAAUGGCUCCACCGGCAGCCAAGGUGGAUCAGACAGUUCAGGGGGCCAGGGUUGACCCAAAAGUUCAGGGGACCACGAGGGACCAGACAGUUCAGGUGGCCAGGGUGGACCCGAAAGUUCAGGGGACCACGAGGGACCAGGCAGUUCAGGUGGCCACGGAGGAUCAGUCCAUCUUAGUUGUGCAGACGGCCAGGGAGGAACUCGCCACUUGAGCGACCAGAGCGGAACCUGCCCUUCCGGUGUCCCAGUGGAGACGUGAAGGUGCUCUGGACGGCCUGUGGAGACGUGAAGGUGUUCUGGACGGCCUGUGGAGACGUGAAGUACCUCGACCUCGGGAACCAUCUCGGGCACCGCAACGGACAGCGCCUCGGGCACCGCAUCGGGAAUGGCCUCGGACCCUGCCUCGGGCACCGCAUCGGGAACGGCCUCCGCAUCGGGCACCGCCUCGGCCAUUGCAUCGGGCACCGCCUCGACCUCGGGCACCGCCUCAGUCUCGGGCAUUACAUCGGGAACCGUCUCUGGCACCGUCUCUGGCACCGCAUCGGGCACCGCCUCGGCAUCGGGCACCGUCUCGGCAUCGGGCACCGUCUCUGCAUCGGGCACCGCCUCGGCAUCGGGCACCGCCUCGGGCACCGCCUCGGCAUCGGGCACUGCCUCGGCAUCGGGCACCGCCUCGGCCACCGCCUCGGGCACCGCCUCGGC